UGGGGAACGAGGUGGCGGGAGCGAGGGGAAGACGUAGGGGGGGAGCGUUAAGCGGAAUUACGGGGGGUAAAGUGUGCGCAGGCGGCCGAGCAAGGCGAGGGUGAAAGCCCCGGGCUUAACUUGGGAAUUGCGCUCGAAACUACUUGGCUGGAGUGUGGCAGAGGAAGGUGGAAUUCCACGUGUAGCGGUGAAAUGCGUAGAGAUGUGGAGGAACACCAAUGGCGAAGGCAGCCUUCUGGGCCAACACUGACGCUCAUGCACGAAAGCGUGGGGAGCAAACAGGAUUAGAACCCGAGUAUUC
Molecule: ribosomal RNA, 301 nt
Filed under: uncultured Parvibaculum sp.
Lineage: Bacteria; Pseudomonadati; Pseudomonadota; Alphaproteobacteria; Hyphomicrobiales; Parvibaculaceae
Description: bacterial SSU rRNA
Rfam family: Bacterial small subunit ribosomal RNA (bases 54-301)
Source: RNAcentral